This 440-nucleotide ribosomal RNA is filed under the name uncultured bacterium. RNAcentral describes it as "partial 16S ribosomal RNA". It matches the Rfam family "Bacterial small subunit ribosomal RNA", at positions 338 to 795 of the family's 1533-position model. The record is from RNAcentral.
CCUACGGGAGGCAGCAGUGAGGGAUAUUGGUCAAUGGGGGAAACCCUGAACCAGCAACGCCGCGUGAGGGAAGACGGUUUUCGGAUUGUAAACCUCUGUCCUCUGUGAAGAUGAUGACGGUAGCAGAGGAGGAAGCUCCGGCUAACUACGUGCCAGCAGCCGCGGUAAUACGUAGGGAGCAAGCGUUGUCCGGAUUUACUGGGUGUAAGGGGUGCGUAGGCGGCUUUGCAAGUCAGAAGUGAAAUCCAUGGGCUUAACCCAUGAACUGCUUUUGAAACUGCAGAGCUUGAGUGGAGUAGAGGUAGGCGGAAUUCCCGGUGUAGCGGUGAAAGGCGUAGAGAUCGGGAGGAACACCAGUGGCGAAGGCAGCAUACCGGCGCGCAACUGACGCUCAUGCACGAAAGCGUGGGUAUCGAACAGGAUUAGAUACCCUGGUAGUC